GUAGAAAACUCCAUGAUGCUCACAUGCUGCAUAAAGGCUUAUUAGAUUGAAGUGGUUGAUUUUUCUAAGCAAAUUCACCUCAUUAGAGAUGUCUCUGCUCGUCUUCUUUAUGGCUAGCACUUGUCCGCCAAUAAUCCCACGAUAGACAGAGCCACUCAACCUAUUGCUAGUGCUGAAGUCUUCAGUUGCUACCUUUAAUUCCUCAAACGCAUAGAUUUUCAACCCCAGAUCAACCCCAGCAACGCGAUUCAGAAAAUCUUCGGGUAACGC
Molecule: unclassified non-coding RNA, 270 nt
Filed under: Hevea brasiliensis (rubber tree)
Lineage: Eukaryota; Viridiplantae; Streptophyta; Magnoliopsida; Malpighiales; Euphorbiaceae
Source: RNAcentral